CGGCCUGUAGCUCAGCUGGUAGAGCAGCUGACUCUUAAUCAGCGGGCCCAGGGUUCGAGUCCCUGCAGGCCGA
Molecule: transfer RNA, 73 nt
Filed under: Draconibacterium sp.
Lineage: Bacteria; Pseudomonadati; Bacteroidota; Bacteroidia; Marinilabiliales; Prolixibacteraceae
Also listed under: 1 other name
Description: tRNA-Lys
Rfam family: tRNA
About the family: Transfer RNA (tRNA) molecules are approximately 80 nucleotides in length. Their secondary structure includes four short double-helical elements and three loops (D, anti-codon, and T loops).
Source: RNAcentral